CGCUGUUUCUGACGCCGCUCGCGUUGCUGCACGUGGCGCCGGGAUUCGAGUCGUUCGCGCGGGAAGUCGCCGGGACUGCGGCUGGCUCCGGCCCAGGCCUGAAGCCAAGCGCACUCAUCGCGGGCGGGGUGGUACUGCUGAUCGUCGCGGUGAUGGCAGUGCGAGGUCGAUCCCGCCGGGCUCCGGUGGAAUCUGCCGUCGUUGCCGGAAGUCAGCGACCCGCGCAGAACGGUCGGGCGGAUGCGGCGGGGUCGGCGAGUGACGCAUCGACGUCGGCGAGCGACACGUCGACGUUGGUGUUGGAUGCGAGUGCCACGAGCCGCAAGUCGGGGCCCCUGGGUCGGAUGAGGGAGGCGAUCAUGCGAAUCGCCACCAGCGUCCAGCAUCUGUUCGGCCGGCUGUCCGCCGCAUGGGAACAGGGAUCCCUGUGGGUCGGUUUGAUCUUCGGCAUGUUCUAUCUGCCGUCGCUGACGCUGGUGUUGCUCGUCGACACCUCCAUCGUGACGUCGGGGGCCGGGAUCGGCGAACAGAUCGGCGCUGCGCUCGUCUUCGUGUUCGGCUUCCUGGCGGUGCUGGAGCUGACCCUGUUGAGUUAUCUCGUCGCACCCGGGAAGACGGAAGUCGUGCUGCGACCGCUGCACACGUGGGCGCGCGCUCACAACCGGCAGAUCAUGCUCACCUUCUUCGCGCUGGUCGGCAUCUGGCAGGUGGCACGCGGCUUGGGUCUCGCUGCCUGACCUCGCCACGCCGUCCGGGGAUUACACCGUUCGGGCCAGCCGAUCGGCCAGCAAGCCGGCGAACUUCGCCGGGUCCUCUGGGACGUCGCCCUCGGCGAGCAACGCCGUGCCGUAGAUCAAUUCGGCGGUUUCGGCCAACGACGAAUCGUCGGGGCCGCGGGUCUUCCGCGCCUGCUGCAGGCCGGUGAUGAGCGGAUGCUUCGGGUUGAGUUCGAGGAUCCGCUUGACGACGGGAACCGCUUGUCCGGACGCCCGGUACAUGCGCGCGAGCGCCGGAGUCAUCCCGAACGUGUCGGUCACGAGGCACGCGGGUGACUCGGUGAGGCGGGAGGACAACCGCGCCUCCUUGACGUGAUCACUCAAGGUCUCCUUCAACCAGUCGAGCAGCUCGGCGAACUCCUUUUCCUGCUCUUGGCGUUCCGCCUCGUGGGCUGCCUUCUCGUCCUCCGAGUCGAGAUCCACCUCGCCCUUGGCCACCGACUGCAGCGGCUUGCCGUCGAAUUCGGUCACCGACCCCACCCAGACCUCGUCGACCGGGUCGGUGAGCAGCAGCACCUCGUACCCCUUCGUCUUGAAGGCCUCCAGAUGGGGUGACUUCACGAGUUGCUCGCGUGACUGCCCGGUGGCGUAGAAGAUCUGCUGCUGACCAUCCUUCAUGCGUCCGACGUAUUCGGCCAAGGUGGUGAGGUCCUCGCCGCUGUGGGUGGAGGCGAACGACGAAACGCGCAGCAGGGCGUCCUGGUUGUCGAGGUCCGACAUCAGGCCUUCCUUGAGCACCGCGCCGAACUGGGUCCACAACGUGCGGUAGUCGGUGGGCCGUUCCGACUGCAGAUUCUCGAUCGUCGACAGGACCUUCUUCGUGACCCGUCGGCGGAUCGCCGCGACCUGCCGGUCUUGUUGCAAGAUCUCGCGAGAAACGUUGAGCGACAGAUCCUGCGCGUCGACGACGCCCUUGAUGAAGCGCAGGUACGGCGGAACGAGGUCUUCGCAGUCGUCCAUGAUGAAGACCCGCUUGACGUACAACUGCACCCCGGUCCUGGUGUCGCGGUUGAAGAGGUCGAACGGUGCCUGCGAGGGAAUGAAGAGCAGGGCCUGGUAUU
Molecule: unclassified non-coding RNA, 1837 nt
Filed under: uncultured fungus
Lineage: Eukaryota; Fungi
Description: sequence contains 18S rRNA gene, ITS1, 5.8S rRNA gene, ITS2, 28S rRNA gene
Source: RNAcentral